AAUGGGGGAAACCCUGACCCAGCAACGCCGCGUGAGGGAAGAAGGCUUUCGGGUUGUAAACCUCUGUCCCAUGGGAAGAAACAAAUGACGGUACCAUGGGAGGAAGCCCCGGCUAACUACGUGCCAGCAGCCGCGGUAAGACGUAGGGGGCAAGCGUUGUCCGGAAUUACUGGGCGUAAAGGGUGCGUAGGCGGCAAUGCAAGUCUAAUGUGAAAUCCCCGUGCUUAACAUGGGGAUUGCAAUAGAAACUGUAUAGCUAGAGUGCAGGAGAGGUAAGUGGAAUUCCUAGUGUAGCGGUGAAAUGCAUAGAUAUUAGGAGGAACACCAGUGGCGAAGGCGACUUACUGGACUGUAACUGACGCUGAAGCACGAAAGCGUGGGGAGCGAA
Molecule: ribosomal RNA, 388 nt
Filed under: uncultured bacterium
Lineage: Bacteria
Description: bacterial SSU rRNA
Rfam family: Bacterial small subunit ribosomal RNA
Source: RNAcentral